UGGGGAAUAUUGGACAAUGGGGGGAACCCUGAUCCAGCCAUGCCGCGUGUGUGAAGAAGGCCUUAUGGUUGUAAAGCACUUUAAGCGAGGAGGAGGGUACUGGUAUUAAUACUACCAGCUACUGGACGUUACUCGCAGAAUAAGCACCGGCUAACUCUGUGCCAGCAGCCGCGGUAAUACAGAGGGUGCGAGCGUUAAUCGGAUUUACUGGGCGUAAAGCGUGCGUAGGCGGCUAAUUGAGUCGGAUGUGAAAUCCCCGAGCUUAACUUGGGAAUUGCAUUCGAUACUGGUUAGCUAGAGUGUGGGAGAGGAUGGUAGAAUUCCAGGUGUAGCGGUGAAAUGCGUAGAGAUCUGGAGGAAUACCGAUGGCGAAGGCAGCCAUCUGGCCUAACACUGACACUGAGGUACGAAAGCAUGGGGAGCAAACAGG
This 430-nucleotide ribosomal RNA is filed under the name Pseudomonadota bacterium. RNAcentral's name for it is "Proteobacteria bacterium partial 16S ribosomal RNA". It matches the Rfam family "Bacterial small subunit ribosomal RNA", at positions 355 to 776 of the family's 1533-position model. Lineage: Bacteria; Pseudomonadati; Pseudomonadota. The record is from RNAcentral.